Molecule: long non-coding RNA, 2335 nt
Organism: Cyanistes caeruleus (blue tit)
Lineage: Eukaryota; Metazoa; Chordata; Aves; Passeriformes; Paridae
Source: RefSeq, a predicted model, not a curated record
UCAGCCAUCUCACUUUGAUGUCUCCCAGUCAUGCUGCUCACUCUACCACCAGCGCUUUCAUCUCCAUGGACACCUCUCCUGGAACUUUAAGGCUGUUGCUACUUCUCUUCUCUUUUGAGGAGGAGGGAAGGUCAUAGCUUUCCUUUGAGCAGCCUGGGACACAUAAGAAAGAACCUUCUCUGCAGCCUUUCACAGCACUUGCCCCCAAAGAUGCUUUCCCGUCCUAGUCUGCACUCAAGGAUGUCUCAGAUAGACUGGUGCCAAGAAGGUGUGGCUGGAGACAUGCUGGGGCAUGGAGAUGUGCGCAGGACAUAUCAAAAAAAACAUUGAUUCAAAAUCCCAGUAGAUUGGAUCAUCUGCAGCUUGGCCAAGGAGGAAGAAGGAAAACACCUUCAGAAGCAGUCAGCUUCCUGUCUUAUGUUUUUGAAGCCGAGCUGAUGGCUCACAGAACGGAUCUCUAAUAUGUAUAUAUAUAAUCCCCAGACCUAAAAGUCGUCUAUUUUAAAAGACAAGUGUUUGCUCACCCAAGGAACAUUGUAGUCAAGCUUUAGACUUUGUGAUCCAUAUGGGUUUCAUCAACUUGUUUGCCAGGAAUUUAAGAAAAACAAACUUUAUUCAUGUUCCUUAGAGAAAUUAAUCCACUUUAUGGUCUGCACAAAAAGAAAUACAGCUUCAGAAAAAAAACAACAAAAAACACCCAGGGCAUUCCUGGAACUGGAAGGUCAGAGAGCCAAAAUAAUGGAUCCACUUAAUAUGAGAAAUGAGUGACUUGCAGUGGCAUCAUUAUCAGCACUGGAAGUACAUGGCUCCAGCUUAGAAAGUGAUUUCAUGUUACAUCUCAUAAAGGACCCCCAAUAUUAAGUGCUUUCCCAAGCCCUCCUAGAACCAGGCACUGCCACUGCUCUGAGAGCAACAUUUACCUUCAACUUAAAGAUGGGGUGUAUAAUCCACUAGAAGCACAUGUUCCUGGAGACUUACCUCUGAGGAGUUAAACUUAGAUGAGAUGAGAUCUAUUCCAUAUAACCCUGUAACAUGCCUUGGCAUAUUUGUUUGUGUGUAAAGAAUUUAGUUAUAUAACCCAUUGUUUGGUUUUCCAAGCUUGAUAAAAACCUGUGGACCUCUACAUAAUUUUAUCAGUAUUUUGUUUUCUGAAUCACAAAGAACAGGCAGUUUCAGUAAGACGUGUCAAUAUACAUUGCUGCUGCAAACAGAGGUGUUUAUCUCCAAUGACACUCGUUUUAAAAGUACAGUCUAAUACAGGAAAUAUAAAUUCUGAUUCAUUCUUAAAGCAAAUAAUUAUGCAGAUUAAUCUCUAUACUGCCCAAAUUUAAAUAGGCAGCCUAAAAUUAAUGCAUUGCAAAUUUUAUGAUUGCAACAUUCUAGUAGGGUAUCUCACCAGCUUUUACAGAAAGCUGUAUUUCUGCUCCAUGAGUGGUUUGUUACAUUGAAUUAAGGUUGCAUUAGAACCCUUUCAGUAAGUCAAAUCACAUUACUCACUCAUAUAGCAUUCUUGGCAAGCAUCAAAAAGCAUGUUUAAUAGUUAGGAACUGCGAGAUUGAGCCAGACAGUGAUCUGAUGUUUAAAACAGGACUAGGCACCUUAAGUCAAAAUUGCAGCAGAGGGAAAAUAAUAAAACUAAAAUUAUUUAUGUUCUUAAGCCAAAAGGCACUUACUAUUGGAAAAUGUUUUUACAUACCCCUGUAUCCUGAACCGAGUAGAAUAAUUUAGCCUUUUCUUCAUAUGUUACUGUGAAAAGUAACUUGUGAAACCACAAUUGUUCUUCAAACAAUAUUGAGGAAAAAACCCAUAGCUGAUCUGUUCUUAGAAAAUGAACCUGAUCUAUUUUAAUGGUGCAUGUGGGACCUGCACAGCCUGGUGCUGGCAGGGAGGGAGGGAGGGACUGUCCCCUUCUGUCCCCAGCUGUAAGGGCCUCAGCAGCAUUUCCUCCAUCCCUUUCUCUGAGCAGUGCAAAGGGACCAAAUCACAUGAGCAAAUCCAUGGUUACCCCUGUUUAGCAUUCAGGCAAUGACACUUGGCUUGCUUUUCUCACGGCAACAACCUCCCUCAGAUGCAUUCCCUCUUGGCUGUCCAUCUUUCAACAAGUCUUCAGGUGGCUCAUGGACAGACACUAAGAAAGUGAAAAGUCCUGCACUUCAUGUGUUAAUUUUUAUGCCAGUAAUGACUAGCUGUUUACUUUUUAAACAAAUGCCUGAUAUACGGUGCAACUGGCUGAGUGCACAGCCAAAAACAGACCACAGGAAAUCUCUUUGACAGCCAGGAAGGCAGAAUUGUUAACGUGCGUCUGCAUUACAGUUAAUUUUUUUUUUUUUUAUAA